This 441-nucleotide ribosomal RNA is filed under the name uncultured bacterium. Its description in RNAcentral is "partial 16S ribosomal RNA". It matches the Rfam family "Bacterial small subunit ribosomal RNA", at positions 30 to 507 of the family's 1533-position model. The record is from RNAcentral.
UGAACGCUGGCGGCAUGCCUAACACAUGCAAGUCGAUCGGUAAGGCUCUUCGGAGUACACGAGAGGCGGACGGCUGAGUACCGCGUAGGAACACACCCUGCAGUGAGGGAUAAGACACCGAAAGGUGUUCUAAUACCGCAUACGGUCUUCGGAUUAAAGCAUUUAUGCGCUGAAGGAGUGGCCUGCGUCAUAUUAGAUAGUUGGUGAGGUAAUGGCUCACCAAGUCGAUGAUGUGUAGCUGGUCUGAGAGGAUGAUCAGCCAGACUGGAACUGAGACACGGUCCAGACUCCUACGGGAGGCAGCAGUGAGGAAUAUUUCACAAUGAGCGAAAGCUUGAUGGAGCAAUGCCGCGUGCAGGAUGAAGGCCCUCGGGUUGUAAACUGCUUUUAUAAGAGAAGAUUAUGACGGUAACUUAUGAAUAAGGGACGGCUAACUACGUG